CCGCGCUAUCUGAUGCGGAGAUUACCUCCAAAAUCCUUGUUAGUUUGGACCUGGAAUACAAUCCACUCGUAUCGGCGUUCACUGCUCGGUUGAAGCCUGUCACGGUUCAGGAGCUCUACAGCCAGCUCCUGAGCUUUGACGC
Molecule: non-coding RNA, 142 nt
Organism: Hordeum vulgare subsp. vulgare (domesticated barley)
Lineage: Eukaryota; Viridiplantae; Streptophyta; Magnoliopsida; Poales; Poaceae
Source: Rfam